Caretta caretta (loggerhead turtle) is the source of this 1280-nucleotide non-coding RNA. Lineage: Eukaryota; Metazoa; Chordata; Testudines; Cheloniidae. The record is from RefSeq and is a predicted model, not a curated record.
GAGAAUAAGAGGGUUGUGGGAGGGUAGAGAAAAAUAGAGAGAGUGGGGUAGAGAAGGGAAAGAAAGCAGGGGAGAGAGAGAGAGAGCUCUGUAGAGAGAGUGGGAAGAGAACAGAGAAAUGGAAGAGAAUAUAAUCUAGGGACCCGCAAUGAGCACUUCUGGGUGGGCUGUACAGCAGUUUGUUACAGCGGUGCGGUGAAGCCUCCAUCAAUCUUCAAGCCGUGAACCUUGAUCUCCAAGCCAAAUGCAGGAUUUCCAGAGGCUUUUUUGACCAGCUAAACUAAAAAAGCGCACCUGAGCUCCAAUCUGGCCUCCCUAUGGCUGCUUCAACCCUCAUCCCAUUUGUAGCUGAAAAUAAAACUGGAGAGGGAGCAAACACUUAAGGAGGAGGGAAAGAGAACCAAACCACAAAGGCACCUGGACUGAUCAAAGCAGCGGGGUACAUAACAGGGAUGUGCUGCCAGAAUGAUAAAAACAAACUCCCACAAAAGUACUUCCCCCGAGUUUAUGAGCAAGUCUGUCCCAGGAGACAUGGGCAUCAGAGAGAAGUGGCGAGGGAACAGGGAAAUCGAUUCAUUUGUUUGGCUAUUUGAACAAAUGGCUCUCUCAAACCCCUAACCAGGGAGUGAGGCAGCACCAUGCAGCAGAUUCCUCAUGAGUACCCUUCCUGGGAAAUGCUUAGACUUUGUUUCUAAAAUAGAGAGUCUGCUCAGUACUAACUGUAGCUCUUUGAGUGAAUUAUCUGUAUGGAUCACACUCUUGCAGUGGGGCGGCGUCCUGGGCCUUCCACUCAGAUCUUGUUAGAAAGCAGUAUCAGUCAGGGCCACAUGGAUUCUGAGCAGGCAUGGACCAAUGCUGAGUGAGGAUGAUAACAAAACUUUAUUUAAGUAAUGGGGAAAACCAAGUUUCACUAAGGGAGUUCCCAAAGUACUAGGCCUCUGUCAUAAAUAUAAAGGGAAGGGUAAACCCCUUUAAAAUCCCUCCUGGCCAGAGGAAAAAUCCUCUCACCUGUAAAGGGUUAAGAAGCUAAAGGUAACCUCGCUGGCACCUGACCAAAAUGACCAAUGAGGAGACAAGAUACUUUCAAAAGCUGGAAGGAGGGAGAAAAACAAAGGGUCUGUGUCUGUCUGUAUGCUGCUUUUGCCGGGGACAGAACAGGAAUGGAGUCUUAGAACUUUUAGUUUUGCCUAGAGGGACUCUCUAUGUUUGGAAUCUAUCUACCAUCCUGAUUUUACAGAGGUGAUUCCUUUACUUCUAUUAAAAGUCUUCUUGUAAGAAAA